RNAcentral lists this long non-coding RNA (320 nucleotides) under Androctonus crassicauda. The record is from RNAcentral. Lineage: Eukaryota; Metazoa; Arthropoda; Arachnida; Scorpiones; Buthidae.
CAUUUUUAUUAUGGAAGCUACUUUUCUUUACUAAGUUAUUUGACAAUCUACUCUCUUAUAUAGAUCACGUACCCCCAUCCUGAUGUCCACUUAUGUACAACUAUGCAGUUAAUUGUGCUCAUUCACUUUGGAGGACUCGCUCUUCCAACCCUAAAAACUUUAUAUGUGUAUUUAAAAAUUUAUUUAUCAUUUUUAAUUAUUUUAAUACAACAAAUAAAACAAAUAUAUUAGAAUCACAUAUAUUAAUAAUUAAACAUGCUGGCUGGAUGUCCCUUUUUCGGUUGAACUAUUGUACCGAUUUCUAUAAAUAGGGCAUCUUU